RNAcentral lists this ribosomal RNA (654 nucleotides) under Triticum aestivum (bread wheat). RNAcentral's name for it is "partial small subunit ribosomal RNA". Lineage: Eukaryota; Viridiplantae; Streptophyta; Magnoliopsida; Poales; Poaceae. The record is from RNAcentral.
AUGGACAGUGAUGUUCUUGCAAUGGGAUUCUUCCAUGGAUUAAUGCUUGAGGCAAAGAAACAUAUUGCUGAGAGGUUUGAUAAUGAUGAGAGCAAGUACAAAGUUGCUUGGGACAUCAUUGAUAAAAGGUGGGACAGCAAGCUCAAUACUCCUCUCCACUUGGCUCGCUACUAUUUGAAUCCUCACUAUUAUUACCCAAACAAGUUAGAGAUUGAGCAUGAUGGAUCAUUUAGACCUGCUGUUAUUACCUGCAUUUGCAAGAUGAUUGAGGACGAAGAAACCCAAGACAUUGUAAUUGAAGAACUCAACAUGUAUCAAGAUCAACAAGGAUCUUUCAGCCAUGAGAUUGCUAUAAGGCAAAGGAGAAACAAGAAUUUUAAUCCAGCAAAAUGGUGGCUAAACCAUGGCACCAGCACACCAAAGUUGAGAACUUUGGCAUCUAGGAUUCUUAAUUUGACAUGUAGGUCAUCAGCUUGUGAGAGGAACUGGUCAGCUUUUGAAGAGGUUCAUACAAAGAAAGGAACUUUUAGGCUGCUGCAUGACAGGAUGAGGGAUCUUGUGUUUGUGAAAUUCAACUCUAAACUAAGGAACAAGAGAGAGAACAAAAACAGAGAUCCCAUAGAGAAAGAAGUAGAUGAUGUUCUUGCUGAUUAG